UGCCAUAAGGGGGGACUAUUACCCCUUAUGGCACAUACGUCGCACGUCGCA
This 51-nucleotide non-coding RNA is filed under the name unclassified sequences. RNAcentral's name for it is "ssNA-helicase RNA". It matches the Rfam family "ssNA-helicase RNA". From Rfam's summary of the family: Firmicutes, Actinobacteria (1 example). Downstream gene The record is from Rfam by way of RNAcentral.